AGAUCUAGUGCUAGAAGCAGCUCAGCAUGGAGACACUGAAGUAUCUGACACUUUUCCUACUCCUGGCUGUGUUGGCGGAGAGGAUGGAAGCACAGGCAGCAGGAAAUGCCACUUCCUGCCCUGAAGUAAGAGAUGGAACCCUUGGAAUUUGUGGCAGGGAAUGCACAGAGGACACAGGGUGUGAACAAGGAUGGAAGUGCUGCCCAAACACCUGCGGAAAAUUCUCUUGCAUGAAUCCAGAGUAAGAGGAACAAAAGGACAGAGUAUGGAAAAAUGAUAGAUCGUGAUGUUGUAGACCCUAGGGGAAGAGACCAUUUGCAAUAAAUAACCUUAUACUAAUAAAUAAACUUAUACUAAUAA
Xenopus laevis (African clawed frog) is the source of this 360-nucleotide long non-coding RNA. RefSeq lists it as uncharacterized. The transcript has 3 exons. NCBI's taxonomy places the organism in Eukaryota, Metazoa, Chordata, Amphibia, Anura, Pipidae. The record is from RefSeq and is a predicted model, not a curated record.